UGGGGAAUUUUGCGCAAUGGGGGAAACCCUGACGCAGCAACGCCGCGUGCGGGACGACGGCCCUCGGGUUGUAAACCGCUUUCAGUGGGGACGAUGGUGACGGUACCCACAGAAGAAGCUCCGGCUAACUACGUGCC
This 137-nucleotide ribosomal RNA is filed under the name uncultured bacterium. RNAcentral describes it as "partial 16S ribosomal RNA". It matches the Rfam family "Bacterial small subunit ribosomal RNA", at positions 355 to 509 of the family's 1533-position model. The record is from RNAcentral.